Molecule: ribosomal RNA, 476 nt
Filed under: uncultured bacterium
Lineage: Bacteria
Description: partial 16S ribosomal RNA
Rfam family: Bacterial small subunit ribosomal RNA
Source: RNAcentral
GACGAACGCUGGCGGCGUGCCUAAUACAUGCAAGUUGAGCGAUGAAGAUUGGUGCUUGCACCAAUUUGAAGAGCAGCGAACGGGUGAGUAACGCGUGGGGAAUCUGCCUUUGAGCGGGGGAAAACAUGUGGAAACGAAUGCUAAUACCGCAUAAUAACUUUAAACAUAAGUUUUAAGUUUGAAAGAUGCAAUUGCAUCACUUAAAGAUGAUCCCGCGGUGUAUUAGCUAGUUGGUGAGGUAAAGGCGCACCAAGGCGAUGACAGGUAGCCGGCCUGAGAGGUUGACCGGCCACAUUGGGACUGAGAUACGGCCCAGACUCCUACGGGAGGCAGCAGUGGGGAAUAUUGCACAAUGGGCGGAAGCCUGAUGCAGCAACGCCGCGUGCGGGAUGACGGCCUUCGGGUUGUAAACCGCUUUCGCCUGUGACGCAGCGUGAGUGACGGUAAUGGGUAAAGAAGCACCGGCUAACUACGUG